UCGAUUCCCUUAGUAGCGGCGAGCGAAACGGGAAGAGCCCAAACCAACAAGCUUGCUUGUUGGGGUUGUAGGACACUCUAUACGGAGUUACAAAGGACGACAUUAGACGAAUCAUCUGGAAAGAUGAAUCAAAGAAGGUAAUAAUCCUGUAGUCGAAAAUGUUGUCUCUCUUGAGUGGAUCCUGAGUACGACGGAGCACGUGAAAUUCCGUCGGAAUCUGGGAGGACCAUCUCCUAAGGCUAAAUACUCUCUAGUGACCGAUAGUGAACCAGUACCGUGAGGGAAAGGUGAAAAGCACCCCGGAAGGGGAGUGAAAUAGAACCUGAAACCGUGUGCUUACAAGUAGUCAGAGCCCGUUAAUGGGUGAUGGCGUGCCUUUUGUAGAAUGAACCGGCGAGUUACGAUUUGAUGCAAGGUUAAGCAGUAAAUGUGGAGCCGUAGCGAAAGCGAGUCUGAAUAGGGCGUUUAGUAUUUGGUCGUAGACCCGAAACCAGGUGAUCUACCCUUGGUCAGGUUGAAGUUCAGGUAACACUGAAUGGAGGACCGAACCGACUUACGUUGAAAAGUGAGCGGAUGAACUGAGGGUAGCGGAGAAAUUCCAAUCGAACCUGGAGAUAGCUGGUUCUCUCCGAAAUAGCUUUAGGGCUAGCCUCAAGUGAUGAUUAUUGGAGGUAGAGCACUGUUUGGACGAGGGGCCCCUCUCGGGUUACCGAAUUCAGACAAACUCCGAAUGCCAAUUAAUUUAACUUGGGAGUCAGAACAUGGGUGAUAAGGUCCGUGUUCGAAAGGGAAACAGCCCAGACCACCAGCUAAGGUCCCAAAAUAUAUGUUAAGUGGAAAAGGAUGUGGCGUUGCCCAGACAACUAGGAUGUUGGCUUAGAAGCAGCCAUCAUUUAAAGAGUGCGUAAUAGCUCACUAGUCGAGUGACACUGCGCCGAAAAUGUACCGGGGCUAAACAUAUUACCGAAGCUGUGGAUUGUCCUUUGGACAAUGGUAGGAGAGCGUUCUAAGGGCGUUGAAGCAUGAUCGUAAGGACAUGUGGAGCGCUUAGAAGUGAGAAUGCCGGUGUGAGUAGCGAAAGACGGGUGAGAAUCCCGUCCACCGAUUGACUAAGGUUUCCAGAGGAAGGCUCGUCCGCUCUGGGUUAGUCGGGUCCUAAGCUGAGGCCGACAGGCGUAGGCGAUGGAUAACAGGUUGAUAUUCCUGUACCACCUAUAAUCGUUUUAAUCGAUGGGGGGACGCAGUAGGAUAGGCGAAGCGUGCGAUUGGAUUGCACGUCUAAGCAGUAAGGCUGAGUAUUAGGCAAAUCCGGUACUCGUUAAGGCUGAGCUGUGAUGGGGAGAAGACAUUGUGUCUUCGAGUCGUUGAUUUCACACUGCCGAGAAAAGCCUCUAGAUAGAAAAUAGGUGCCCGUACCGCAAACCGACACAGGUAGUCAAGAUGAGAAUUCUAAGGUGAGCGAGCGAACUCUCGUUAAGGAACUCGGCAAAAUGACCCCGUAACUUCGGGAGAAGGGGUGCUCUUUAGGGUUAACGCCCAGAAGAGCCGCAGUGAAUAGGCCCAAGCGACUGUUUAUCAAAAACACAGGUCUCUGCUAAACCGUAAGGUGAUGUAUAGGGGCUGACGCCUGCCCGGUGCUGGAAGGUUAAGAGGAGUGGUUAGCUUCUGCGAAGCUACGAAUCGAAGCCCCAGUAAACGGCGGCCGUAACUAUAACGGUCCUAAGGUAGCGAAAUUCCUUGUCGGGUAAGUUCCGACCCGCACGAAAGGCGUAACGAUUUGGGCACUGUCUCAACGAGAGACUCGGUGAAAUCAUAGUACCUGUGAAGAUGCAGGUUACCCGCGACAGGACGGAAAGACCCCGUGGAGCUUUACUGUAGCCUGAUAUUGAAAUUCGGCACAGCUUGUACAGGAUAGGUAGGAGCCUUUGAAACGUGAGCGCUAGCUUACGUGGAGGCGCUGGUGGGAUACUACCCUAGCUGUGUUGGCUUUCUAACCCGCACCACUUAUCGUGGUGGGAGACAGUGUCAGGCGGGCAGUUUGACU
Molecule: ribosomal RNA, 2044 nt
Filed under: Staphylococcus aureus
Lineage: Bacteria; Bacillati; Bacillota; Bacilli; Caryophanales; Staphylococcaceae
Description: partial 23S ribosomal RNA
Rfam family: Bacterial large subunit ribosomal RNA
Source: RNAcentral